RNAcentral lists this long non-coding RNA (962 nucleotides) under Homo sapiens (human). RNAcentral describes it as "HSALNT0183821". Lineage: Eukaryota; Metazoa; Chordata; Mammalia; Primates; Hominidae. The record is from RNAcentral.
UUACAAUGUUCUAACUUGUUCACGAUGUUCUAACUUGUUCUGCCCAACGUACUGGUUUCUGUCUUGUCUGACAUGGAGCUCAAACAGGAAUCGUCAACAUAGUUUGGACUUCAGGCUGGAAGCUAAAGAUGGCAGCAUAUGAAAGCUGCCAGAGGACUAUAAAGCCUUGGAUGCCUGGGGGAAAAGAAUUACAGCAAAAGAAAAUGAAAAGCAUCUAAGGCCACAAGAAGAAGCUGGGAUGCAUUGGUGACCCGCUGCACGUCUGCAAGUGCCUCUGAGCCUGCUCCCAGGACGGCCAUCCUGCUGCCCACCCGACUCCUACAACCUGCUGAUCCCCAGCUUCCCAGCAAGAUCUAGGCUAAUGACUUCCUAGUUCCUUGCUUCUGUCAUGGUUAAGGCUGCCGGAUUUAGUAAACAAAAAUACCAGACAUAAAGUUAAAUUUGAAUUCACAACAAAUAAUUUUUUAGUUAACGCACCCAAGUGAGACAACACUGAAAUGCACAGAUCUUUCCAAAGACAACUCUUGCAAGCCCCUCAGUUACGAGUCUCGGACGGUGAGGAAGAGCCUGCUCGUGUGUUCAAAACACUGGAGGACCCUUGGUCUGAGAACUAACCAAGGAUGAUCCACGACCUAGAGGAAGACAGACCAAGAUCAAAGAAGACCCCAUUUGCUUGUACCUGGAGUGGCACCACCCUGGACAUCAGGUGGUCAAAAUAAAGGUCCACUGCUUCGGUGAAGCCCUUGUAAGUUGUCCUCAGCCUCAUGCCAGGGUCUUGGAGUAGCCAGCUUGAAGUGUAAACGGGGGAAAGGAAGGAUGUUAGUGUCACAGUGGGUUUGCUGUGAGCAGGCUGUUGAUGCGUGAGAAGGGAGAGGCCCCCCAGUGCUCCAGAAUGACCUGUGCCCUCCUCCACCCCACUGAGCCCAGAAGUGGGGAGACAAUGCAAACCGAUUCUGGGGCGA